UAAUAUGCAAGAUGUGAUUAUGAAGACAUGAGAUUGAUUUCUUCAGUCACAGAGAAAAAUAAGAUUCAUUAUAUAACAAUCAUACCAUGUAUAAAUU
Molecule: microRNA precursor, 97 nt
Filed under: Cricetulus griseus (Chinese hamster)
Lineage: Eukaryota; Metazoa; Chordata; Mammalia; Rodentia; Cricetidae
Description: mir-340
Source: RNAcentral